ACUCCUACGGGAGGCAGCAGUGGGGAAUAUUGGACAAUGGGCGCAAGCCUGAUCCAGCCAUGCCGCGUGUGUGAAGAAGGCCUUUUGGUUGUAAAGCACUUUAAGCGAGGAGAAGGCUACUUGGAUUAAUACUCUAGGAUAGUGGACGUUACUCGCAGAAUAAGCACCGGCUAACUCUGUGCCAGCAGCCGCGGUAAU
Molecule: ribosomal RNA, 198 nt
Filed under: uncultured bacterium
Lineage: Bacteria
Description: partial 16S ribosomal RNA
Rfam family: Bacterial small subunit ribosomal RNA
Source: RNAcentral